AUGUUCCAGCUAGGCUCCGCCCCCGGGAAGGGCUUCUGGGCGCGGCACCGGUGGAAGAUGCUGCUCUCGCUGGGCGUCGCCGGCGCCGGCUACGCGGCCUACCGCUUCUACGACGCGCACCAGAAGCAGCUCGUCCGGGUGGAGCAGCGCGCCGAGGAGGAGCGCGCCGCCGACGAGAUCAUCAAGAAUCAGUUGGAAGCCCAUUUUGAGAAGGUGCAGAGGAUCUCCGAUACAACCACGCUGCCGUUUGCUAUGCACUACCUACGUUCGCGGGUAAUGGAGGAGCUGGAUAUUUCGCACCUGACCGAGAGGCUGCUGCAAGGGAAGGGCGAGCUGACGCCAGAGGACAAGUACGAGACCUGGGAGAAGAUCAAAAUUCUGAGUUUCACAAGGACAGUGUCUUCAAUGUGGGCCAUGACAUUGCUGAGCUUAUAUGUUAGAGUCCAGGUCACCAUAUUAGGCAGACAUCUCUACUUGGACUUUGCUCGUGGUACAGAUGGCGCACAAUUGCAGGCGGAAUCUGAUACUUUUAGCGGCAAUGGACAUAAGGACUUUCUUGGAACUGCUGACUACCUUGCAACAUAUGGUAUCACUGCAUUGAUCAGGCAAAUGCAACAUGCUGCGACAGAAAUCUUGAAAGAGAAGCAACUGAAAGACCCUAUGAGCAUGGACCAAGUAUUACAAACGAUGUUACAGAUAUCGGAGCAGUUCAUGAGUCUGUGUGAAGGCAACUCAUGGAUAAAUUUCCUUGUACCUGAAAACGCCAAUCGGUAUGCACAGUUGAUGGCUGUAUCGAGCAGCGGCUUUGAUGACUCAUCUCUUCUAAUGGAUGUUGGAAAGCUUGACCAGCUAAUGACUGAGACACGCAUAGUGUUGGCAAGCGACGAUUUCAGAAAUAUCAUGGACAUGUCAUUGAGGAAGGUAGCUGAUUUGGUGAUAGAGGACUUGCGUGCACAGGUUGGAGCCGCGCUUCCUCCAUCGGGAUUGCCCUUGGCGAAGCUCUUGGCUAGAGUGGCUCAACUGAGCUCAAUGCUGCUCGAGGAACCAAGCAAGAACAAGCACAUCCAGACCAUCCGAAGCAUGCCCGAGGUGGGGCUCUUCUACACAUUCCUCUACGCGAACAUGCCGCCGCAAACGUGA
Molecule: ribosomal RNA, 1140 nt
Filed under: Triticum aestivum (bread wheat)
Lineage: Eukaryota; Viridiplantae; Streptophyta; Magnoliopsida; Poales; Poaceae
Description: partial small subunit ribosomal RNA
Source: RNAcentral